GGGGAUUUAGCUCAGUGGCAUAAGUGCCUGCCUUAUAGGCAGGUAGUCCUGAGUUCAAUCCCCG
Molecule: transfer RNA, 64 nt
Organism: Cavia porcellus (domestic guinea pig)
Lineage: Eukaryota; Metazoa; Chordata; Mammalia; Rodentia; Caviidae
Rfam family: tRNA
About the family: Transfer RNA (tRNA) molecules are approximately 80 nucleotides in length. Their secondary structure includes four short double-helical elements and three loops (D, anti-codon, and T loops).
Source: Rfam